Pelobates cultripes (western spadefoot toad) is the source of this 124-nucleotide non-coding RNA. Lineage: Eukaryota; Metazoa; Chordata; Amphibia; Anura; Pelobatidae. The record is from the annotation of a GenBank genome assembly.
GACUAGUGACAGAGUGAGAGAGGGGGUGACUAGUGACAGAGUGAGGGAUGGGGAAACUAGUGACAGUCACCCCCUCUUUCACUCUGUCACUAGUCACCCCCUCUCUCACUCUGUCACCAGUCAU